GGGCCGGUAGUCUAGUGGUUAUGACGCUGCCCUUACAAGGCAGAGGUCGGGAGUUCGAAACAACCCAGCUUUU
Molecule: transfer RNA, 73 nt
Rfam family: tRNA
About the family: Transfer RNA (tRNA) molecules are approximately 80 nucleotides in length. Their secondary structure includes four short double-helical elements and three loops (D, anti-codon, and T loops). Further hydrogen bonds mediate the characteristic L-shaped molecular structure. tRNAs have two regions of fundamental functional importance: the anti-codon, which is responsible for specific mRNA codon recognition, and the 3' end, to which the tRNAs corresponding amino acid is attached (by aminoacyl-tRNA synthetases). tRNAs cope with the degeneracy of the genetic code in two manners: having more than one tRNA (with a specific anti-codon) for a particular amino acid; and 'wobble' base-pairing, i.e. permitting non-standard base-pairing at the 3rd anti-codon position.